Humulus lupulus (European hop) is the source of this 958-nucleotide long non-coding RNA. RefSeq lists it as uncharacterized. The transcript has 3 exons. NCBI's taxonomy places the organism in Eukaryota, Viridiplantae, Streptophyta, Magnoliopsida, Rosales, Cannabaceae. The record is from RefSeq and is a predicted model, not a curated record.
AUCACCCAAGUUGGUAAUAUCCAAUGUUAACAUCUUCACAAUCUGAGUGCGCUGAAUCCUGAAACACUGAAACUUCAUGUCCUUGGCAGCCUUGACACCGUUCAUGAUGGCCAUAACUCAGCAGCUAAUGAGCAUAAAAGAUCUUCGAAUAAAUUGGGUUUGAAUCACAUCAAUUUUUUCUGUCUCUAAUAACAGCCCUUAAAACUGCACCACUCAUUUGAGGUGUCAACAGCAGCAUCAACAUUGACUUUAAUAUUAUCUUCCGCUAGUGGCUAACACGUCUCAGGCUCUUUUUUAAAUGAUGUCACAAAGCACUUCCUGUUUUUUGGAAUGGUCCGAUCAUGAAGCAAACAAUCUCUAGUAUAUCAUACUUGAAAGUAAUUAUAACAAACAUAUCAAAAUCAUUACUUGAAAGUAAUUUGGUCAUGUUGUUGAAGAACAUGAUAAAGUCAGGAUCAUAAGCUUGACGAACUGAUUAUAAGAACACAUCUGACACUACAUUCUCCAUCACUACUACAAAAUUUGCAUGAGAAGUUGGUUCCAAAUCAACGUGUAUUGUGAUGGUUUAUGUGAAACCGAAGUCUCAUAAAUGAUGUCUGGCGUUCAGAUUGUAGUAGUGCAUCUUGGUGAGUUUGUCAUCAAGAUUAUAAGAGCACAAAUUAAUAGGCUCAUUGAUGGUUCGGGUUGCUGGAAUUUUGAGAUUGAUAGCAUAGAAGAUAUAAUUUCUAAAUACUUGUAAAGAAUAUCAGUUCUUGGUAAUUUUGUUUGAAUUUGCUGAGUUCAAUAAAGAACAGAAAGUGGGGACUAUACAGUGGGAAGUGGCAAGAGAGUGUGGCUCACAAGAGGAUCUAAAGACUUUAGAUUGAGGUUAUCAAAUCAAUAGCUGGAGAUAUAAUAUUUAUCGAUCUCUUUUAUUUUGUAACAAUCUGAUAAAGUUUUAUUCUGCAUAUUAGGAUUG